RNAcentral lists this long non-coding RNA (1942 nucleotides) under Prunus persica (peach). RNAcentral's name for it is "long non-coding RNA (PPER_LNC004519)". Lineage: Eukaryota; Viridiplantae; Streptophyta; Magnoliopsida; Rosales; Rosaceae. The record is from RNAcentral.
UGAUAUGUUGUUCAUCUUUUAUAUAUAUAUAUAUAUAUAUAAUUGUUGAAUUAAUAAUUGACACAAAUUAAUAUGCUAAUCAUCCAAUUAUAAACUAGGAAUGAGUAAAGAAAAGUAAAUGAAAUGAAACAAAUUAUAUAUGUAAUUUAAGUGAUAUAAUCCUAAACCUAAACUCUUAUUUAUACAUAAUUAUAUAUGUAUGCGGGCUUAAGAGGCCGGGCUUUUGUGGGCGGACCGGGCCAAGCUUUCUUGGGCUUAAUCGGGCCUGGCUGUACUUCAGACACUCAAGCCCAAGCCUAGCCCAGCCCAAGACAGGCCGGACCAUCUCAAAGCCUAUAACGGGCAGGGUCGGACUUUUUUCGAUGGGCCGGGCGGGCCCCCAUUAGCCCAUGAGCUCGCGGGCCAAAUGAUGAGGCCUAGAAUGGGUCGAAUAGGUCAAAUUGUGCAAACCAAAUAAGUAAAAUCAAGGAAUGAGUGAUUUCGACGUGAAUUGAAUCUAAACUCGAUCUUGCCCACUCAUAAAAUCUAGGCAUAUUUAUGUAUAUACCCUAUGUGCUCUCAAACUUGUCUCAGAUUGCCACAUGUGUUUGCAAACAUCUCAAAAUACCCCCCAACCUUUUAAAAACAGUCUCACGUUACCCGUUUUGUCAGUUUUAUAAACAUUCCGUUACGUGCGUUGGGCCCCACUUCAUUUUAAUCUUUAACCUCUUCGAAUAUGGGUUUUUCAGUUCCAAGAAAGGGGGAAAUUGGAGAAGAGGGCUUAGGAUUUGUGAAAAUUUGAGGUUGGCUUCGAUUUUGGGAGAAUCUGGAGAAGAAAUCUUGGCAUUCUUGGCAUUCUAUUCUAAUUGAGAGAAAGUAAGAGGGUUAAAUGAGGUUAGAACGGAGAUGAAGGAGGAGCUGGGAUAAGCAUAGAAGGUCUGAGUCAAAAAGGAGAUUAUAGAAUUUUGAGAUAGAGUUGAGUGCCUUGAAAAUAUCUUCUUCUUUUUUUUUUCUUUUUUUUAGGUGGCCUUUGGUUUUUCUCUAUGAUUGAGAGAAAGUAAGGGGGUUAAAUGGGGUUAGAACGGAGAUGAAGGAGGAGCUGGGAUAAGCACAGAAGGUCUAAGUCAAAAAGGAGAUUAUAGAAUUUUGAGAUAGAGUUGAGUGCCUUGAAAAUAUCUCCUUUUUUUUUCUUUUUUCUUUUUUCUUUUUAGGUUUGGUGUGAAAAAUGAAUAGGCAACAAUACCAAUUGUUACUUAUUUUAAUUAGAUUCCUUGGUUUUAUUAAAACACAAGGAAACCAAUUCCUUGCCUUAUAUAUGUGACACGUUGUUGCGCUUUCUCUCUAAGUCCUCUCCUUAUAAUUUAAACAACGAAAAACAAUUGUUGCCCAUAGCUAUAUGCAAGCACACAUGUAGUCGUUGCCUAUUACAUUUUCAUUCUGGCGGUAAAUUUUCCCCUCCAUGAAAUUGGCAACAAAAUGAAAUUAAUAAGCGAGGAUCUAGGUUUCCCUCUUUCACAAAUGUCAGACUGCGCAAGGACUUUCAAAAGUUGUUGCCUAUUGUUGUUAUAGGAAGGAGAUUUUAGUCGUUGCCUAAUGUUUCGUUGCCGAAUCCAUGUUUUCUUGUAGUAUUUUUUGUUGUUUUGCCAGAGUUGGAAAGGGGGAGGGGAGAACUUACACACACGGGUACCACGGGAGUUUGAACUCAGGACCACUUGGGAAGACACAGAAGGUCUGGGCCAGUCCAACUAACAUCCCAUUAGUUGAUGUUGGGUUGGUUUAGUGUCAAUGAAUCUUGUCAUGAGAAGAAGUCACUUAAUUAUAGAUUGCCUCUCACAAAACCACAAAAACUCCAAAAAUUUAUUUCAAUCAAGCUAUCAAAAUAUAAACUGCAAAAUUCAUCAUUAUUUACCUCAAUUUGUCUUUGCCUAAAAUGAGAAUGAAUGGUCUAGGGAUUUUCUUCACG